Molecule: long non-coding RNA, 866 nt
Organism: Mauremys reevesii (Reeves's turtle)
Lineage: Eukaryota; Metazoa; Chordata; Testudines; Geoemydidae
Exons: 3
Source: RefSeq, a predicted model, not a curated record
CUGGCUAGUGCUAGAGGAGUGAGAAUGAUGCUCCUGGCUGGCUGCUGCAGAGCACUCUGGACAAAGCAGUUGCUGGCUGGGAGUCUCCACAGUUAAAGAGCCUGGGGAGAAACUCUGCUUUAGCAAGGAUAGGGUUGUGAAGUUCUCCAGGCACAGAGGCCUGGGAGAGAGAGCCUCACAAAAGGGGCAGAGACUGUUAUAAGCUCUCUAGGUGAAGAGGCCUGAGAGAGGCUUAAACAGGGAGCAGACAGAGGACCCAAGAAGCUGAUGGGAUGUAGACCAGGGAAUGUAGCAAUAGCCAUCAGUCAAGAAAGCAGCAAGUGGCUGCUAAUUGUAAGGUCCCUAGGUUGGGACCUGGAGUAGUGUGUGGGCCUGGGUCCUCCCACCAGCCACAGGCGGAGUGGACAAAGCUCAAGAAAGGGAAAAGUUUUGUUUGGAGCCCGAGAAGGGGCAUAGUGCUUAAACAGACCCAGAGGCAGGACAGAAGACACCAGGAGAGGUCCAACUAUUUGUUGGACUGUGUUAUCCUGGAAGGGAUUUGUUUGCUUCACAUACAGACUGUGUGGGACUCAGCCGGAGGGAUGAGUUGCUGAAGACCUACCACAAUUAGAGAGACAGAGAGUGUGCGGAUAGGAGGCACUCACAAGAGAUGCCAAACUACUAACAUAAGUUGCAUUCUGCAACAUCUUAUAAGUGUGUUUGGGCGUUAACACUGAGUAUGCCAACAAUAUACAUUGAAAAGCAAUACCACGUCUGUCCAUUGUUGGGGCAGCUCGUCCAGGUCUGCGGAGGCAAUUCGGUGGCGGCAACUCAAUCGCCCCACUUCGGUCUUCGGCAGCAAUUUGGCAGUGGGUCCUUCACUCACU